CACCUAAUAUUUUUUAACCCAUUUAACUUGACUUGAUCUAUUUAAUAGAUAGAUUAUGCUGGUCUAGUUAUAUUACUUGUUUAACAAACAAACUAUGUUGAGUAUAAAUCUUUGAUCUAUUUAAUAAAUAGAUCAGAUUCAAAUUGAUGGAUUUUUAGCCUGACCUGCAUCUGACCUAAUGUGAAUCAAUUCGAUUCCC
Molecule: long non-coding RNA, 199 nt
Filed under: Elaeis guineensis (African oil palm)
Lineage: Eukaryota; Viridiplantae; Streptophyta; Magnoliopsida; Arecales; Arecaceae
Description: long non-coding RNA (EGUI_LNC048284)
Source: RNAcentral